GUGAAUCAUCGAAUCUUUGAACGCAAAUUGCACUCUCUGGUAUUCCGGAGAGUAUGCCUGUUUGAGGGUCAGUUUAAUUAAAAACGGUGUUGUUGCCACCCGUUGUUGGUUGUGCUGCGUCGGUGUGUAGUCGUUCUUUCCCUUUGGUUUACGAGACUUAAACUUAUGUUUGUUUUUUGAACGUAUUUA
This 189-nucleotide unclassified non-coding RNA is filed under the name Glomeromycetes sp. Its description in RNAcentral is "partial contains 5.8S ribosomal RNA and internal transcribed spacer 2". The stretch from base 1 to 71 matches the Rfam family "5.8S ribosomal RNA", at positions 84 to 154 of the family's 154-position model. Lineage: Eukaryota; Fungi; Glomeromycota; Glomeromycetes. The record is from RNAcentral.